GACGAACGCUGGCGGCGCGCUUAACACAUGCAAGUCGAACGGAAAGGCCUGCUUUCCCUUGUGGAUUGCGGGUACUCGAGUGGCGAACGGGUGAGUAACACGUGAGUGAUCUGCCCCCAACUUGGGUAUAAGCCUGGGAAACUGGGUCUAAUUCCCGAUAGGACUGCAGGGUGGUGCCUGUGGUGGAAAACGAUUUUCUAGUGGUUGGGGAUGAGCUCGCGACCUAUCAGCUUGUUGGUGGGGUAAUGGCCUACCAAGGCGGCGACGGGUAGCCGGCCUGAGAGGGUGGACGGCCACAUUGGGACUGAGAUACGGCCCAGACUCCUACGGGAGGCAGCAGUGGGGAAUAUUGCACAAUGGGCGGAAGCCUGAUGCAGCGACGCCGCGUGGGGGAUGACGGCCUUCGGGUUGUAAACUCCUUUCGACCGCGAGGAAGCCACCUGGUUGGAAGGGUGGUGACGGUAGUGGUAGAAGAAGCACCGGCUAACUACGUG
Molecule: ribosomal RNA, 494 nt
Filed under: uncultured bacterium
Lineage: Bacteria
Description: partial 16S ribosomal RNA
Rfam family: Bacterial small subunit ribosomal RNA
Source: RNAcentral